AUGUUCCCAGGAAUGAGUGGGUAACCUAUGAUGCGCGUUUGUCGGUACUGGGCCUGCACUUGCUGGAGUUAAAAAUGAGGGGGGACCUCAUUGAAGCAUAAAGAAUAGUGAAAGGCUUGCAUAGAGUAGAUGUGGAGAGGAUGUUUCCACUCGUGGGGGAGUCUAGGA
This is a long non-coding RNA of Amblyraja radiata (thorny skate), 168 nucleotides long. RefSeq lists it as uncharacterized. NCBI's taxonomy places the organism in Eukaryota, Metazoa, Chordata, Chondrichthyes, Rajiformes, Rajidae. The record is from RefSeq and is a predicted model, not a curated record. The transcript is spliced from 3 exons.